GAUGAACGCUGGCGGCGUGCCUAAUACAUGCAAGUCGAGCGAACAGACGAGGAGCUUGCUCCUCUGACGUUAGCGGCGGACGGGUGAGUAACACGUGGAUAACCUACCUAUAAGACUGGGAUAACUUCGGGAAACCGGGGCUAAUACCGGAUAAUAUAUUGAACCGCAUGGUUCAAUAGUGAAAGACGGUUUUGCUGUCACUUAUAGAUGGAUCCGCGCCGCAUUAGCUAGUUGGUAAGGUAACGGCUUACCAAGGCAACGAUGCGUAGCCGACCUGAGAGGGUGAUCGGACACACUGGAACUGAGACACGGUCCAGACUCCUACGGGAGGCAGCAGUAGGGAAUCUUCCGCAAUGGGCGAAAGCCUGACGGAGCAACGCCGCGUGAGUGAUGAAGGUCUUCGGAUCGUAAAACUCUGUUAUUAGGGAAGAACAAAUGUGUAAGUAACUAUGCACGUCUUGACGGUACCUAAUCAGAAAGCCACGGCUAACUACGUG
RNAcentral lists this ribosomal RNA (497 nucleotides) under uncultured bacterium. RNAcentral describes it as "partial 16S ribosomal RNA". It matches the Rfam family "Bacterial small subunit ribosomal RNA", at positions 28 to 507 of the family's 1533-position model. The record is from RNAcentral.